This 937-nucleotide ribosomal RNA is filed under the name uncultured bacterium. RNAcentral's name for it is "bacterial SSU rRNA". It matches the Rfam family "Bacterial small subunit ribosomal RNA", at positions 26 to 935 of the family's 1533-position model. The record is from RNAcentral.
AGAAUGAACGCUGGCGGCGUGCUUAACACAUGCAAGUCGCACGAGAACUCUUCUGCUUGCAGAAGAUAGUAAAGUGGCGCACGGGUGAGUAACGCGUGGGUAAUCUACCUCUGAAUUGGGGAUAACAUUGUGAAAGCGAUGCUAAUACCGAAUAAUAUCCCGAGAACCUAGGUUUUGGGAUCAAAGGUGGCCUCUACAUGUAAGCUACUGUUUAGAGAUGAGCCCGCGUACCAUUAGCUUGUUGGUAGGGUAAUGGCCUACCAAGGCAACGAUGGUUAGCUGGUCUGAGAGGAUGAUCAGCCACACUGGAACUGACACACGGUCCAGACUCCUACGGGAGGCAGCAGUGAGGAAUUUUGCGCAAUGGGGGAAACCCUGACGCAGCAACGCCGCGUGAGUGAUGAAGGCUUUCGAGUCGUAAAGCUCUGUCAAGUGAGAAGAACCUGUCCCGCGAUAAUACCGCGGGAUACUGACGGUAUCACUGAAGGAAGCACCGGCUAACUCCGUGCCAGCAGCCGCGGUAAUACGGGGGGUGCAAGCGUUAUUCGGAAUUAUUGGGCGUAAAGGGCGCGUGGGCGGUCUUUUAAGUCAGAUGUGAAAGCCCGGGGCUCAACCCCGGAAGAGCAUUUGAAACUAAUGGACUUGAGUAUGGGAGAGGGAAGUGGAAUUCCUGGUGUAGAGGUGAAAUUCGUAGAUAUCAGGAGGAACACCGGUGGCGAAGGCGACUUCCUGGACCAAUACUGACGCUGANGCGCGAAGGCGUGGGGAGCAAACAGGAUUAGAUACCCUGGUAGUCCACGCAGUAAACGGUGAACACUAGGUGUAGCGGGUAUUGACCCCUGCUGUGCCGCAGUUAACGCAUUAAGUGUUCCGCCUGGGGAGUACGACCGCAAAGUUAAAACUCAAAGGAAUUGACGGGGGCCCGCACAAGCGGUGG